AAUACCGCAUAAGCCCACGGCUCGGCAUCGAGCAGAGGGAAAAGGAGCAAUCCGCUUUGAGAUGGCCUCGCGUCCGAUUAGCUAGUUGGUGAGGUAACGGCCCACCAAGGCGACGAUCGGUAGCCGGACUGAGAGGUUGAACGGCCACAUUGGGACUGAGACACGGCCCAGACUCCUACGGGAGGCAGCAGUGGGGAAUAUUGCACAAUGGGGGAAACCCUGAUGCAGCGACGCCGCGUGGAGGGAGAAGGUCUUCGGAUUGUAAACUCCUGUUGUUGAGGAAGAUAAUGACGGUACUCAACAAGGAAGUGACGGCUAACUACGUGCCAGCAGCCGCGGUAAAACGUAGGUCACAAGCGUUGUCCGGAAUUACUGGGUGUAAAGGGAGCGCAGGCGGGAGAACAAGUUGGAAGUGAAAUCCAUGGGCUCAACCCAUGAACUGCUUUCAAAACUGUUUUUCUUGAGUAGUGCAGAGGUAGGCGGAAUUCCCGGUGUAGCGGUGGAAUGCGUAGAUAUCGGGAGGGACACCAGUGGCGAAGGCGGCCUACUGGGCACCAACUGACGCUGAGGCUCGAAAGUGUGGGUAGCAAACAGGAUUAGAUACCCUGGUAGUCCACACCGUAA
This 624-nucleotide ribosomal RNA is filed under the name uncultured bacterium. Its description in RNAcentral is "bacterial SSU rRNA". It matches the Rfam family "Bacterial small subunit ribosomal RNA", at positions 165 to 805 of the family's 1533-position model. The record is from RNAcentral.